Molecule: unclassified non-coding RNA, 345 nt
Filed under: soil metagenome
Description: partial contains 5.8S ribosomal RNA, internal transcribed spacer 2, and large subunit ribosomal RNA
Rfam family: 5.8S ribosomal RNA (bases 1-120)
Source: RNAcentral
GAUGAAGAACGCAGCGAAAUGCGAUACGUAAUGUGAAUUGCAGAAUUCAGUGAAUCACCGAGUCUUUGAACGCACAUUGCGCCCCCUGGUAUUCCGGGGGGCAUGUCUGUCCGAGCGUCAUUGCUGCCCUCAAGCACGGCUUGUGUGUUGGGCCUCCGUCCUCCUCCCGGGGGACGGGCCCGAAAGGCAGCGGCGGCACCGCGUCCGGUCCUCGAGCGUAUGGGGCUUCGUCACCCGCUCUUGUAGGCCCGGCCGGCGCUUGCCGACACAUCAAUCUUUUUUCCAGGUUGACCUCGGAUCAGGUAGGGAUACCCGCUGAACUUAAGCAUAUCAAUAAGCGGAGGA